Mirounga angustirostris (Northern elephant seal) is the source of this 455-nucleotide long non-coding RNA. RefSeq lists it as uncharacterized. NCBI's taxonomy places the organism in Eukaryota, Metazoa, Chordata, Mammalia, Carnivora, Phocidae. The record is from RefSeq and is a predicted model, not a curated record. The transcript has 4 exons.
CUGCUAUGUCUGCCUCAAAUGCUUGCCGUGAUACAAAGUGGUAAUCUCUACCAGCUACUUCGUGGUCUCGCCGACUCCGAGUUGUAUCUAGGCAAACAAAAUCAGGCUUGCCACCAAUUUGGAUCUUCUUGACUGAUGACAUGAAGUAUAUCCCCUUUUUGGAAAGACAGACCUAAUUCUCGACAUGGAACAUAAGGGUCAUCUGAGGGGUCAUAAUCAAAAUGAGCUUUCACAUGGAUCUAAAAGAUAAAAAAGAUUCUAGGGCGAAAAGCUGUCCUGAGAUGUCUUUUUGCCCCAUACGCAGCAUGUAAUGUACACAGUCAACAGCCAUCUCUCGAUGCUUCUGAUGUUCCUCUGGUGAUGCAAGAUCAACAUUUUUUACUUCGCUGUCUGAUUCCUCAGCAACAUGCCCAUUCAUAUGGGAUGUUGUCAUGGUUAUCUAUAAAAACCUGUAC